UUCUUUCGUCUAAUCCAGCAAUCCCCAGUAAAUCCCACCUCCGAUUCAUUAACACCCGUUACAGUCGGAGACUCAUGCGGUGAUUCCUAGAAAUGGGGUGCUGGAGAGAAAAGAUUCGAUGUCGAAGACGAUUAGUUUCUCGUACUCGCCGGCGAUUUCUCGGGCGAACUCAUUUAUGUCGUCGUUGACGGGCGAAACGGAUAGCAAGCAGCAGCCGUCUUCUACAUAAAGGGUGAGUUGGAAUCAGUGAGUUGACUGGGUUUGGG
RNAcentral lists this long non-coding RNA (266 nucleotides) under Panax ginseng (ginseng). Its description in RNAcentral is "long non-coding RNA (PGIN_LNC014329)". Lineage: Eukaryota; Viridiplantae; Streptophyta; Magnoliopsida; Apiales; Araliaceae. The record is from RNAcentral.